RNAcentral lists this ribosomal RNA (459 nucleotides) under uncultured bacterium. RNAcentral's name for it is "partial 16S ribosomal RNA". It matches the Rfam family "Bacterial small subunit ribosomal RNA", at positions 338 to 795 of the family's 1533-position model. The record is from RNAcentral.
CCUACGGGUGGCAGCAGUGAGGAAUAUUGGUCAAUGGCCGAGAGGCUGAACCAGCCAAGUCGCGUGAGGGAAGACGGCCCUACGGGUUGUAAACCUCUUUUGUCGGGGAGCAAAGCGAACCACGUGUGGUUCAUUGAGAGUACCCGAGAAAAAAUCAUCGCUUAACUCCGUCCCAGCACCGUCGGUAAAAGGGGGGAUGCGGGCGUAAUCGGGAUUUAUUGGGUUUAAGGGUUGCGCAGGCGGAGGUGCAAGUCAGCGGUCAAAUUGCGGGGCUCAACCCCGUACUGCCGUUGAAACUGCAUCCCUUGAGUGCGCGAGAAGUAUGCGGAAUGCGUGGUGUAGCGGUGAAAUGCAUAGAUAUCACGCAGAACUCCGAUUGCGAAGGCAGCAUACCGGCGCGCAACUGACGCUCAUGCACGAAAGCGUGGGUAUCGAACAGGAUUAGAUACCCUGGUAGUC